UUCCCCCAUCUCCUCCCCACGACCAUUCUUUGAGUUGGUCCGUUGAUCUGAUAGUGAGCCGAGUGGAACUCGGUUCUGGUGGUCAGAGCUUCGGUGCUUAGGAGAUUGAUUGGUGGAGGUGCUGUGUUGGUGCUUCUCAAAGCUGUAUUCACCGAGGCUCACCCGUACUUGCAGUGGUGGUAUGAUUAAGGUGUUAUAUCGCCGUCUUCUUCUCACCGGUGGCAACUGACGGGUGAUUGGAUUUCUGGGACAACGGCUGUGAAGCCGUGUCUUGUCUCGCUUAUUGACUCUUUUGAUUGCAUAUCACUACAAUUCAAAUUGUUAUGAUAAUUAUUGGAUUGAUCAGAGAACACAAUAGAAGAUUGAUUAACAUAAUGAGGCUGCAUUUCAGCCUAUGUAAGAAAGUCAAUAUGCGACAGAGGUGUCCAAAUGCAUGGGC
This is a long non-coding RNA of Phragmites australis (common reed), 439 nucleotides long. RefSeq lists it as uncharacterized. The transcript is spliced from 3 exons. NCBI's taxonomy places the organism in Eukaryota, Viridiplantae, Streptophyta, Magnoliopsida, Poales, Poaceae. The record is from RefSeq and is a predicted model, not a curated record.